GACGAACGCUGGCGGCGUGCUUAACACAUGCAAGUCGAGCGGUAAGGCCCUUUCGGGGGUACACGAGCGGGCGAACGGGUGAGUAACACGUGGGUGACCUGCCCUUAGCUCUGGGAUAAGCCUGGGAAACUGGGUCUAAUACCGGAUAUGACUCCAUGACGCAUGUUGUGGGGUGGAAAGCCUUGUGCGGCUAGGGAUGGGCCCGCGGCCUAUCAGCUUGUUGGUGGGGUGAUGGCCUACCAAGGCGACGACGGGUAGCCGGCCUGAGAGGGCGACCGGCCACACUGGGACUGAGACACGGCCCAGACUCCUACGGGAGGCAGCAGUGGGGAAUCUUGCGCAAUGGGCGAAAGCCUGACGCAGCGACGCCGCGUGGGGAUGACGGCCUCGGUGUAA
This 396-nucleotide ribosomal RNA is filed under the name uncultured bacterium. RNAcentral describes it as "bacterial SSU rRNA". It matches the Rfam family "Bacterial small subunit ribosomal RNA", at positions 28 to 428 of the family's 1533-position model. The record is from RNAcentral.